RNAcentral lists this long non-coding RNA (437 nucleotides) under Cottoperca gobio. RNAcentral describes it as "lncRNA (ENSCGOG00000013740.1)". The record is from RNAcentral. Lineage: Eukaryota; Metazoa; Chordata; Actinopteri; Perciformes; Bovichtidae.
GUUUAUCCAGCCAACAUCCAUCUCACCUCUCACUUUAUUGGUUUAACUGAUUGCAUCAUCAUGUCUCACACCUCUUGCAGGGAGAUCAGGGUCCUCCAGGGUUUCCAGGCCUUCCAGGCUCAGAGGGUGCAGAAGGGCAUCCUGGUCAUAGGGGUCCAUCUGGUCCUCCUGGGCCCCCAGGUCCCCGCGGAGGAAGCUUCAGCAUGGACUUUGAGGACUCGGAAGGAUCCGGGCUGCAGAGCGGUUCUGGAGCUAUGCUCUCCAGAGGCCCACAGGGUCCUGCAGGAAUCCCUGGACUUCAAGGCCCCAAGGGUAACGAUGGUUUAGACGGCUCCUCAGGAAAGCCGGGGCUAAAGGGGGAGGCGGGGGCUACAGGACCACCAGGGUUUCCAGGACUGGACGGACUAAAAGGGGAAGAGGUCAGUAAACAGACGGAC